AGUUUGAUCCUGGCUCAGAUUGAACGCUGGCGGGAUGCUUUACACAUGCAAGUCGAACGGCAGCACGGACUUCGGUCUGGUGGCGAGUGGCGAACGGUGAGUAAUGGCCGGAACGUGCCUAGUAGCGGGGAUAACUACGCGAAAGCGUAGCUAAUACCGCAUACCGCCCUUCGGGGGAAAGCGGGGACUCGCCUCUCGCACUAUUAGAGCGGCCGAUAUCGGAUGAAUAGUUGGUGGGGUAACGGCUCAUCAUGGCGACGAUCCGUAGCUGGUUUGAGAGGACGACCAGCCACACUGGGACUGAGACACGGCCCAGACUCCUACGGGAGGCAGAACGGGGAAUUUUGGACAAUGGGGAAACCCCGAUCCAGCCAUCCCGCGGUGAAGAAGGCCUUCGGGUUGUAAAAGCACUUUGGCAGGAAGAAACGGCACGGGAUAAUACCCCGUGCAACUGACGGUACCUGUGAAUAAGCACCGGCUAACUACGUGCCAGCAGCCGCGGCGAAUAUUGUGUAGGUGUGAAGGCACCUGGAAUUAAUAAGUAAAGCGCAGGCGGUUCGGAAAGAAAGAUGUGAAAUCCCAGAGCUUAACUUUGGAAACUUGCAUUUUUAACUUAUCGAGCUAGAGUGUCAGAGGGAGGUGGAAUUCGCGUGUAGCAGUGAAAUGCGUAGAUAUGCGGAGGAACACCGAUGGUGAAGGCAGCCUCCUGGGAUAACACUGACGCUCAUGCACGAAAGCGUGGGGAGCAAACAGGAUUAGAUACCCUGGUAGUCCACGCCCUAAACGAUGUCAGAAUUAGUUGUUAGCCCCGGGCCUUGGUAGCGCAGCUAACGCGGGUGAAACAGCCGCCUGGGGAGUGUCGGUCGCAAGAUUAAAAACUCAAAGGAAUUGACGGGGACCUGCACAAGCGGUGGAUGAUGUGGAUUAAUUCGAUGCAACGCGAAAACCUUUACCUACCCUGACAUGGCCUGGAAUCCCGAAGAGAUUUGGGAGUGCUCGCAAGAGAACCGGAACACAGGUGUUGCAUGGCUGUCGUCAGCCAAAGUCGUGAGAUGCUGGGUUAAGUCCUGCAACGAGCGCAACCCUUGUCAUUAGUUGCUACGAAAGGGCACUCUAAUGAGACUGCCGGUGACAACCGGAGGAAGGUGGGGAUGACGUCAAGUCCUCAGCGGCCCUUAUGGUAGGGCCACACGUCAUACAAUGGUCGGGACAGAGUGGUCGCCAACCCGCGAGGGGAGCCAAUCCCAGAAACCCGAUCAGUCCGGAUCGGUAGUCUGCAACUCGACUGCGUGAAGUCAAAUCGCUAGUAAUCGCGGAUCAGCAUGUCGCGGAAUACGUUCCCGGGUCUUUAGUAAGCACACUGCCCGUCACACCAUGGGAGUGGGUUUUACCAGAAGUAGUUAGCCUAACCGUAAGGAGGGCGAUUACCACGGUAGGAUUCAUGACUGGGGUGAAGCUGUACCAAGGUAA
RNAcentral lists this ribosomal RNA (1470 nucleotides) under uncultured Bordetella sp. Its description in RNAcentral is "partial 16S-23S ribosomal RNA intergenic spacer". It matches the Rfam family "Bacterial small subunit ribosomal RNA". The record is from RNAcentral. Lineage: Bacteria; Pseudomonadati; Pseudomonadota; Betaproteobacteria; Burkholderiales; Alcaligenaceae.